RNAcentral lists this ribosomal RNA (350 nucleotides) under uncultured bacterium. Its description in RNAcentral is "partial 16S ribosomal RNA". It matches the Rfam family "Bacterial small subunit ribosomal RNA", at positions 338 to 705 of the family's 1533-position model. The record is from RNAcentral.
CCUACGGGAGGCAGCAGUAGGGAAUUUUGCGCAAUGGGCGAAAGCCUGACGCAGCAACGCCGCGUGAUCGAGACGCCCUUCGGGGUGUAAAGAUCUGUCAGUGGGGACGAAACUUGACGGUACCCACAGAGGAAGCACCGGCUAACUCCGUGCCAGCAGCCGCGGUAAUACGGGGGGUGCAAGCGUUGUCCGGAAUCAUUGGGCGUAAAGAGUUCGUAGGCGGCACGUAAAGUCUGGAGUUAAAGGCAGAGGCUCAAUUUCUGUACGGCACUGGAUACUUGCGAGCUAGAAUGCGGUAGAGAGAAAGGAAAUUCGUGGUGUAGCGGUGAAAUGUUGAGAUAACGGGGGGA